AGUCAAAAGGGAAAGAGCCCAGACCUACAGCUAAGGUCCCAAAGUGUGUGUUAAGUGGAAAAGGAUGUGGGAUUUCAAAGACAACCAGGAUGUUGGCUUAGAAGCAGCCAUACAUUAAAAGAGUGCGUAAUAGCUCACUAGUCGAGAGGUCCUGCGCCGAAAAUGUCCGGGGCUGAAACACACUACCGAAGCUUAGGAAUUGACGAAUGUUAAUUGGUAGAGGAGCAUUCUUAACGGGGCGAAGCUGUACCGGAAGGAGCAGUGGACUGUUAAGAAGAGAGAAUGCCGGAAUGAGUAGCGAGAGGAAGGUGAGAAUCCUUCCGGCCGAAUAUCUAAGGUUUCCAGAGUAAAGCUGAUCUGCUCUGGGUAAGUCGGGGCCUAAGGCGAGGUCGAAAGACGUAGUCGAUGGAUAACAGGUAAAGAUUCCUGUACUGUAUCAUAACAGAACUGUGGGGACGCAGACAGAGAGCAUAAGCCGGGAAUGGAAAGACCGGUACAAGCGAGGUAGGAGUGCAUCAGGCAAAUCCGGUGCACAAUCUGAAGACGUGAUGUGGGGCGUAAAGCCGGAAGUAUGUGAGCUGGCUGCCAAGAAAAGCCGCUAUUGUUUAUGAUAUACCCGUACCGUAAACCGACACAGGUGGAUGAGGAGAGAAUCCUAAGGCCGACGGGAGAAGCAUUGUUAAGGAACUCGGCAAAAUGACUCCGUAACUUCGGGAGAAGGAGUGCCAUGUAAAAGUGGCCGCAGAGAAUUGGCCCAAGCAACUGUUUAGCAAAAACACAGGUCUAUGCAAAACCGAAAGGUGAGGUAUAUGGGCUGACGCCUGCCCGGUGCUGGAAGGUUAAGGGGAGAGGUUAGCCGUAAGGCGAAGCUUUGAACUUAAGCCCCAGUAAACGGCGGCCGUAACUAUAACGGUCCUAAGGUAGCGAAAUUCCUUGUCGGGUAAGUUCCGACCCGCACGAAAGGCGUAAUGAUUUGGGCACUGUCUCAACAAUGCACCCGGUGAAAUUGAAAUACCAGUGAAGAUGCUGGUUACCUGCGCCAGGACGGAAAGACCCCAUGGAGCUUUACUCCAGCUUGAUACUGGGAUUCGAUAUUGCAUGUACAGGAUAGGUGGGAGACUUUGAACUCAUGACGCCAGUCGUGAGGGAGUCACUGUUGGGAUACCACCCUUGUAGUAUUGGAUUUCUAACCAGCAGCCGUGAACCGGCUGGGGGACAAUGUCAGGUGGGGAGUUUGACUGGGGCGGUCGCCUCCGAAAGGGUAUCGGAGGCGCUCAAAGGUUCCCUCAGAAUGGUUGGAAACCAUUCGAAGAGUGCAAAGGCAGAAGGGAGCUUGACUGCGACACCGACGGGUGGAGCAGGUACGAAAGUAGGACUUAGUGAUCCGGUGGUAUAAAGUGGGAUUGCCAUCGCUCAACGGAUAAAAGCUACCCUGGGGAUAACAGGCUUAUCACUCCCAAGAGUUCACAUCGACGGAGUGGUUUGGCACCUCGAUGUCGGCUCAUCGCAUCCUGGGGCUGAAGUAGGUCCCAAGGGUUGGGCUGUUCGCCCAUUAAAGCGGUACGCGAGCUGGGUUCAGAACGUCGUGAGACAGUUCGGUCCCUAUCCG
Molecule: ribosomal RNA, 1609 nt
Filed under: human gut metagenome
Description: bacterial LSU rRNA
Rfam family: Bacterial large subunit ribosomal RNA
Source: RNAcentral